UGGAACUCAUGCCCGGGUGAAAACUGCAGC
This 30-nucleotide non-coding RNA is filed under the name Mus musculus (house mouse). The record is from RNAcentral. Lineage: Eukaryota; Metazoa; Chordata; Mammalia; Rodentia; Muridae.